GAUGCCCUACGGGGCGCAGCAGUAGGGAAUUUUCGUCAAUGGGCGCAAGCCUGAACGAGCAAUGCCGCGUGAACGAGGAAGAUCUUCGGAUCGUAAAGUUCUGUUGAAGGGGAAAAAGAGCGGAGAGAGGAAAUGGUCUCCGAUUGAUAUUACCCUUCGAGGAAGUCACGGCUAACUACGUGCCAGCAGCCGCGGUAAUACGUAGGUGGCGAGCGUUAUCCGGAAUGAUUGGGCGUAAAGGGUGCGUAGGCGGCCUGCUAAGUCUGGAGUGAAAGGGACCGGCUCAACCGGUAGAGGCUCUGGAG
Molecule: ribosomal RNA, 305 nt
Filed under: uncultured bacterium
Lineage: Bacteria
Description: bacterial SSU rRNA
Rfam family: Bacterial small subunit ribosomal RNA
Source: RNAcentral